This 429-nucleotide ribosomal RNA is filed under the name Acidobacteriota bacterium. RNAcentral describes it as "Acidobacteria bacterium partial 16S ribosomal RNA". It matches the Rfam family "Bacterial small subunit ribosomal RNA", at positions 355 to 776 of the family's 1533-position model. The record is from RNAcentral. Lineage: Bacteria; Pseudomonadati; Acidobacteriota.
UGGGGAAUUUUGGACAAUGGGGGAAACCCUGAUCCAGCCAUCCCGCGUGUGCGAUGAAGGCCUUCGGGUUGUAAAGCACUUUUGGCAGGAAAGAAACGUCAUGGGUUAAUACCCCGUGAAACUGACGGUACCUGCAGAAUAAGCACCGGCUAACUACGUGCCAGCAGCCGCGGUAAUACGUAGGGUGCAAGCGUUAAUCGGAAUUACUGGGCGUAAAGCGUGCGCAGGCGGUACGGAAAGAAGGAUGUGAAAUCCCAGAGCUCAACUUUGGAACUGCAUUAUUAACUAUAGAGCUAGAGUGUGUGAGAGAGAGGUGGAAUUCCGCGUGUAGCAGUGAAAUGCGUAGAUAUGCGGAGGAAAGCCGAUGGGGAAGGCAGCCUCCUGGGAUAACACUGACGCUAAUGCACGAAAGCGUGGGGAGCAAACAGG